GUUGGGCGUGGUGGCGCGCGCCUGUAAUCCCAGCUACUCGGGAGGCUGAGGCAGGAGAAUUGCUUGAACCCGGGAGGCGGAGGUUGCAGUGAGCCGAGGUUGCACCACUGCAUUCUAGCCUGGGCAACACAGCGCAACUCCGUCUCAAAAAAAAACAUUUCUUUCAUGGAGACUUUUUUUUUUCUUUUUUUGAGACAAAGUUUUGCUCUUGUUACCCAGGCUGGAGUGCAAUGGCACGACCUUGGAUCUCGGCUCACUGCAAUCUCCGCCUCCCAGGUUCAAGCGAUUCUCCUGCCUCA
Molecule: small RNA, 299 nt
Filed under: Pongo abelii (Sumatran orangutan)
Lineage: Eukaryota; Metazoa; Chordata; Mammalia; Primates; Hominidae
Description: Metazoan signal recognition particle RNA (ENSPPYG00000031491.1)
Source: RNAcentral